RNAcentral lists this ribosomal RNA (253 nucleotides) under uncultured bacterium. RNAcentral describes it as "partial 16S ribosomal RNA". It matches the Rfam family "Bacterial small subunit ribosomal RNA", at positions 524 to 776 of the family's 1533-position model. The record is from RNAcentral.
UACGUAGGGCGCAAGCGUUGUCCGGAUUCACUGGGUGUAAAGGGUGCGCAGGCGGAUUCGUAAGUCAGAGGUGAAAUCUCACGGCUUAACCGUGAAACUGCCUUUGAUACUGCAGAUCUUGAGUUUGGGAGAGGUUGAUGGAAUUCCAGGUGUAGCGGUGAAAUGCGUAGAUAUCUGGAAGAACACCAGUGGCGAAGGCGGUCAACUGGCCCAUAACCGACGCUCAGGCACGAAAGCGUGGGGAUCAAACAGG